CACCAUGUUUAGGUCUGGUCACCAUGUUUAGGUCUGGUCAGCAUGUUUAGGUCUGGUCGGCAUGUUUAGGUCUGGUCACCAUGUUUAGGUCUGGUCAGCAUGUUUAGGUCUGGUCAGCAUGUUUAGGUCUGGUCAGCAUGUUUAGGUCUGGUCACCAUGUUUAGGUCUGGUCAGCAUGUUUAGGUCUGG
This is a long non-coding RNA of Oncorhynchus keta (chum salmon), 189 nucleotides long. RefSeq lists it as uncharacterized. NCBI's taxonomy places the organism in Eukaryota, Metazoa, Chordata, Actinopteri, Salmoniformes, Salmonidae. The record is from RefSeq and is a predicted model, not a curated record. The transcript has 3 exons.